RNAcentral lists this long non-coding RNA (305 nucleotides) under Mytilus galloprovincialis (Mediterranean mussel). The record is from RNAcentral. Lineage: Eukaryota; Metazoa; Mollusca; Bivalvia; Mytilida; Mytilidae.
AAAUUCGUAAUUAUCGCAGAUUAUGGGCAGGAGCUAUUGUGAAUGACUUAAAAGAUGUAACAGUAGUGACAGAUAUUCCUUGAAUCAAUGUAAAUAUCAAGCGAUUAUAGGGAUCCUUCUUAACCUUAUGACUUAAUGUAAAUACCGUGUGAUAAGAUUUACAUUUGUGUGUAUAUAUAUAUAACUAUUCCGUAAUAUGUGAGUGUUUUUUUUAUGAUGUUGGGAUUUUAAAAGUCUACGCCGUUAUACAAGGACGGUGGUUCUCCUACAAUAGGAGGGAGAUACAAAAGAAGAAGAAGAAGAAG